UACGUAGGGUGCGAGCGUUAAUCGGAAUUACUGGGCGUAAAGCGUGCGCAGGCGGUUCGUUGUGUCCGUCGUGAAAGCCCCGGGCUUAACCUGGGAACUGCGAUGGAAACUAGCGAGCUGGAGUGUGGCAGAGGGGGGUGGAAUUCCGCGUGUAGCAGUGAAAUGCGCAGAUAUCUGGAAGAACACCAGUGGCGAAGGCGGCUCUCUGGGACGGUACUGACGCUGAGACGCGAAAGCGUGGGGAGCGAACAGG
Molecule: ribosomal RNA, 253 nt
Filed under: uncultured bacterium
Lineage: Bacteria
Description: partial 16S ribosomal RNA
Rfam family: Bacterial small subunit ribosomal RNA
Source: RNAcentral